CAGCGGGAGCCCCCCGAGCUCGCAGAGGGCAGGUGAGGAGCCGGGAGCCCGGCGCGCUCCGUCCCGGGAGGAUCCGCUCCCUCCCCUUCGGCCGUCCUCCUGGCGCGCCCCUCGAGAGCCGCAGCUGCUUAGGCACCUCUGCGCCGAAGGAAAUAUCUGCUCUCCAAGUGCAGCAGCAGCAGCAAAGUGUCUCGGUCCUUUUCUUGCUGUGAGGCUUAAUUUUAAAACAAAUGUUACCAUGUAAAACAAAAUUUGUUAAAGCAUCUGUUUCUUCCCUGGAGCCUCGGAAAAAAAUUUGAUCAAUGUGAAGAGUUUGUAUGAGCCUGCAUGGAAACUGGGUAUGUUAGAGAAUUAAUUAUAUAUGCAUAUCUCUGACAGCUCCUAUUUAUACCUAUGUCAAGGUCCAUACUGCCUUUCCUUCUACCUUCCCAGUCAUCAGUUCCUUUAGCAGCUGCUGCCUCCCCUUCUCCCAGAUAGUUUCCAGUAUCUUGUCCAAGAUACUUUCCGCCAAGCUGCACUGAAAGGUCUGUUUGUACUAUUCUUCCCCUGUCCUUCUAGACUCUGCCGCUUGUCUUGCUGUGGAAAUUUGGAAAGUACUGAGUACGGAGGUUGCGCUGCCACAGACUAGCAAAAGAAUGCCUACGGAGCCUUGCCCCCACAAAGGAGUUGAUUCAUGUGGCCUUGAUCGCACAGAUCCUGCUUUAUUUAGACUGCUUGUGUUUCUACUGGUGACUGCUCAGAGCCACUCUUAAGCUGUGGAGCAGGAACCUGCUGUGGGGCCUCAGGCUUCCUGAAGGACAUGUCCCUGUUCAAAAUGGUACUGGACAGGUGUGCAGACUCUUUAUUCUGAUGUGGAAAUAUCUGAGGUAUAUAACGGGAGAGAUUUUUCAAAGAAAUGCUUAAGAUCUUUAUUAAUUGUCCCUUUGAAAAUUUGAGUAUUUCAUACCUCAUAACUUUCAUGGCUAAUUCACUGAGCCAGGCUUUUUGCGAGCACCUGCACAGGCUCACUUGAUAAGAGUGAGACGAGAGUAUCUCUCUUUGCUUAGUGCUCAGCAGCUGAAGAAUUCCAGUGAGUGGGAGUUACCAGGUCGACAACAAUAGAACAGCCAUUGAUCUUAUAUUUUGUAAAUUAGGAAAACAAGCUCCAUCUAGUAUUACUCUUUUUCUGAUGUCAUAUAGGAAGUACUUCUUUCUUUCUUUCCCUCUUAAUCUCAGAAAGGAGAGAAUAGAGAACAGUAUUUGUU
Molecule: long non-coding RNA, 1244 nt
Filed under: Struthio camelus australis
Lineage: Eukaryota; Metazoa; Chordata; Aves; Struthioniformes; Struthionidae
Description: lncRNA (ENSSCUG00000014052.1)
Source: RNAcentral